UUGUGCCAGCAGCCGCGGUAAUUCCAGCUCCAAUAGCGUAUAUUAAAGUUGUUGCAGUUAAAAAGCUCGUAGUUGAACUUCAGACCUGGCCGGGCGGUCUGCCUAACGGUAUGUACUGUCUGGCUGGUUCUUACCUCUUGGUGAGCCGGCAUGCCCUUCACUGGGUGUGUCGGGGAACCAUGACUUUUACCUUGAGAAAAUUAGAGUGUUCAAAGCAGGCCUAUGCCCGAAUACAUUAGCAUGGAAUAAUAAAAUAGGACGUGCGGUUCUAUUUUGUUGGUUUCUAGAGUCGCCGUAAUGAUUAAUAGGGAUAGUUGGGGGCAUUAGUAUUCAGUUGCUAGAGGUGAAAUUCUUGGAUUUACUGAAGACUAACUACUGCGAAAGUUUUUGCCAAGGAUGUUUUCAUUAAUCAAGAACGAAGGUUAGGGGAUCGAAAACGAUCAGAUACCGUUGUAGUCUUAACAGUAAACUAUGCCGACUAGGGGAUCGGGCGAUCUCAAUCUUAUGUGUCGCUCGGCACCUUACGAGAAAUCAAAGUCUUUGGGUUCUGGGGGGGAGUAUGGUCGCAAGGCUGAAACUUAAAGGAAUUGACGGGAGGGCACCACCAGGGAGUGGAGCCUGCGGCUUUAAUUUUGACUCAACGCGGGGAAACUCACCAGGUCCAGACAUGGACUAGGAUUGACGGAUUGAUAGCUCUUCAUGAUAUAUGAGGUGGCGGUGCAUGGCCGUUCUUAGUGGGGAGUGAUUUGUCUGGUUUAUUCCGAUAACGAACGAGACCUUAACCUGCUUAAUAGCCAGGUUGGCUUUUGCUGUCGUCUGCAUAGUAGAGGGACUGUCUGCGACUAAGGAGACGGGAGUUAGAGGCAAUAACAGGUCUGUGAUGACCUUAGAUGGUUCUGGCC
RNAcentral lists this ribosomal RNA (902 nucleotides) under uncultured fungus. RNAcentral describes it as "SSU rRNA". It matches the Rfam family "Eukaryotic small subunit ribosomal RNA", at positions 562 to 1487 of the family's 1831-position model. The record is from RNAcentral. Lineage: Eukaryota; Fungi.